RNAcentral lists this long non-coding RNA (423 nucleotides) under Amphibalanus amphitrite. RNAcentral describes it as "uncharacterized LOC122385550". The record is from RNAcentral. Lineage: Eukaryota; Metazoa; Arthropoda; Thecostraca; Balanomorpha; Balanidae.
CGCCGCCUCGUCGGCGCACCGGCGCUCUCGUGUUUCUGUAAAGCGGCAGCUCUACUCAGAACCGGCUGAAGGCCGAACCUUGUGAAGGUCACGGCCGCUGCGCGGCGCUCGGCCGGCUCACGUGGGGGACGAAUGCAGACGAAUGGCCGGUUCGUCAGUGGUCUGUGCCUUUGUGUUUGUUUUUAUGUAGAAUAUCAACGGCGUUGUGCUAAUGGCGCUUAUACGAGGUCGAAGUUGGUGCGACCAAGAACCCGUUUUGCACGCUGAGACUUCGCAUGGGAGGCAAAACUUGUCGUUACGGCACCACGGCAGUAAAUACAGCCCGUUCGACGACAACUCCCCGUCUCUGCAAACGGCGUGCGAACAGAAAGUGAUGAUCCCGCAACUCAAUGUGACAGUGCCGCCCCUAAAUCUGUUAGUAGA